This 449-nucleotide ribosomal RNA is filed under the name uncultured bacterium. RNAcentral's name for it is "partial 16S ribosomal RNA". It matches the Rfam family "Bacterial small subunit ribosomal RNA", at positions 29 to 523 of the family's 1533-position model. The record is from RNAcentral.
AACGAACGCUGGCGGCAUGCCUAACACAUGCAAGUCGAACGAAGGCUUCAGCCUUAGUGGCGCACGGGUGAGUAACGCGUGGGCAACUGCCUAUUGGUGGGGAAUAACGACGGGAAACUGUCGCUAAUACCGCAUAAGCCCUUCGGGGGAAAGAUUUAUCGCCGAUAGAGGUGCCCGCGUCCGAUUAGCUAGUUGGUGAGGUAAUGGCUCACCAAGGCGACGAUCGGUAGCUGGUCUGAGAGGAUGAUCAGCCACACUGGGACUGAGACACGGCCCAGACUCCUACGGGAGGCAGCAGUGGGGAAUAUUGGACAAUGGGCGAAAGCCUGAUCCAGCAAUGCCGCGUGAGUGAUGAAGGCCUUAGGGUUGUAAAGCUCUUUCGGGUGGGACGAUGAUGACGGUACCACCAGAAGAAGCCCCGGCUAACUUCGUGCCAGCAGCCGCGGUAA